AUGGAUGAAAAUGCUUGGAGCAGGGAUAAAAUCCAAGCUUUUUACGAGUAUGUCCUUAAAGAGAGGGAAUCGCUGAGGGUAACUGAUGAUGUGCUUCGACAGUGUUGGACGCUCCUUCAGGUAGUGACCUCUUUGAAUGAUUUAACUCCCUCAUCGCUCAACUUGCAGAGUCUUUUGAGUAACCCCAAUGUCCAAUCGCUGUGUUUGGGACAACAUGAGUUUUGGCCACGUUUAGGUGCCACACUUCUCAAUGCAGCCCCGUCGCAUUAUGUCACCGAUUUAAUGGCCCAGUUAGUCGAUCGUAUUUAUGAUAGUGGAAGUUUGAUGCACCAUGAGUUGUUAGAAAAAAUCUGGGAAAAAAGAGGUGAGAUGAAGCUAUCUAUGAGAGCUCUAGAGCAAAUAUUGAAAACACAUCCGUCCUUGCUAGAAGCCUCAUUAUCGAAAUUACUUCUGAAAGAAAAUGACUGCCUUUCAGCCAAGGCGCUCUGGAGCCAACCUCGUCACACAGCCAUUGUUCGCCUGGCUGCUGAGUCACCAGAAGUCUUCCAAGCAGCAACUAGCAUCAUGAACGAAAUCCUUAUCCGAACAAACCUUGCUGCUCACAUCGUGGAAUUAAUCCGAAUGUUUAUAAGAGGAGUAAGGUCAGUACAUAAAGCAGAUCUCAAUGCCUUUGUUUCAUUGUACCCGCUUCACGUCCAGUUUCUAGUCAUGUUCUUGUCGACAAAAGGCGGGAUGCAUCUAAAAGUGAAUCAGAAAAAUUGA
This 762-nucleotide long non-coding RNA is filed under the name Bemisia tabaci. Its description in RNAcentral is "lncRNA ENSSSA2NGG012693". Lineage: Eukaryota; Metazoa; Arthropoda; Insecta; Hemiptera; Aleyrodidae. The record is from RNAcentral.